GACGAACGCUGGCGGCGUGCUUAACACAUGCAAGUCGAACGGAAAGGCCCUGCUUUUGUGGGGUGCUCGAGUGGCGAACGGGUGAGUAACACGUGAGUAACCUGCCCUUGACUUUGGGAUAACUUCAGGAAACUGGGGCUAAUACCGGAUAGGAGCUCCUGCUGCAUGGUGGGGGUUGGAAAGUUUCGGCGGUUGGGGAUGGACUCGCGGCUUAUCAGCUUGUUGGUGGGGUAGUGGCUUACCAAGGCUUUGACGGGUAGCCGGCCUGAGAGGGUGACCGGCCACAUUGGGACUGAGAUACGGCCCAGACUCCUACGGGAGGCAGCAGUGGGGAAUAUUGCACAAUGGGCGGAAGCCUGAUGCAGCAACGCCGCGUGCGGGAUGACGGCCUUCGGGUUGUAAACCGCUUUCGCCUGUGACGAAGCGUGAGUGACGGUAAUGGGUAAAGAAGCACCGGCUAGCUACGUGCCAGCAGCCGCGGUGAUACGUAGGGUGCGAGCGUUGUCCGGAUUUAUUGGGCGUAAAGGGCUCGUAGGUGGUUGAUCGCGUCGGAAGUGUAAUCUUGGGGCUUAACCCUGAGCGUGCUUUCGAUACGGGUUGACUUGAGGAAGGUAGGGGAGAAUGGAAUUCCUGGUGGAGCGGUGGAAUGCGCAGAUAUCAGGAGGAACACCAGUGGCGAAGGCGGUUCUCUGGGCCUUUCCUGACGCUGAGGAGCGAAAGCGUGGGGAGCGAACAGGCUUAGAUACCCUGGUAGUCCACGCUGUAAACGGUGGGUACUAGGUGUGGGGUCCAUUCCACGGGUUCCGUGCCGUAGCUAACGCUUUAAGUACCCCGCCUGGGGAGUACGGCCGCAAGGCUAAAACUCAAAGGAAUUGACGGGGCCCCGCACAAGCGGCGGAGCAUGCGGAUUAAUUCGAUGCAACGCGUAGAACCUUACCUGGGUUUGACAUGGAUCGGGAGUGCUCAGAGAUGGGUGUGCCUCUUUUGGGGUCGGUUCACAGGUGGUGCAUGGCUGUCGUCAGCUCGUGUCGUGAGAUGUUGGGUUAAGUCCCGCAACGGGCGCAACCCUUGUUCACUGUUGCCAGCACGUUAUGGUGGGGACUCAGUGGAGACCGCCGGGGUCAACUCGGAGGAAGGUGGGGAUGACGUCAAGUCAUCAUGCCCCUUAUGUCCAGGGCUUCACGCAUGCUACAAUGGCUGGUACAGAGAGUGGCGAGCCUGUGAGGGUGAGCGAAUCUCGGAACGCCGGUCUCAGUUCGGAUUGGGGUCUGCAACUCGACCUCAUGAAGUCGGAGUCGCUAGUAAUCGCAGAUCAGCAACGCUGCGGUGAAUACGUUCCCGGGGCU
This 1346-nucleotide ribosomal RNA is filed under the name uncultured bacterium. RNAcentral's name for it is "partial 16S ribosomal RNA". It matches the Rfam family "Bacterial small subunit ribosomal RNA", at positions 28 to 1381 of the family's 1533-position model. The record is from RNAcentral.